Molecule: ribosomal RNA, 253 nt
Filed under: uncultured bacterium
Lineage: Bacteria
Description: partial 16S ribosomal RNA
Rfam family: Bacterial small subunit ribosomal RNA
Source: RNAcentral
UACGUAGGUGGCAAGCGUUGUCCGGAUUUACUGGGCGUAAAGAGCGCGCAGGCGGCUGACCAAGUCCGAUGUGAAAGCUCCCGGCUCAACUGGGAAACGGCAUCGGAAACUGAUCGGCUUGAAGGUGGGAGAGGGUAGUGGAAUUCCCGGUGUAGUGGUGAAAUGCGUAGAUAUCGGGAGGAACACCGGUGGCGAAGGCGGGUCUCUGGGCAUUUCCUGACGCUGAGGCGCGAAAGCGUGGGGAGCAAACGGG